Molecule: microRNA, 24 nt
Filed under: Salmo salar (Atlantic salmon)
Lineage: Eukaryota; Metazoa; Chordata; Actinopteri; Salmoniformes; Salmonidae
Also listed under: 4 other names
Description: ssa-miR-8159-5p
Source: miRBase by way of RNAcentral
UCAGUAACUGGAAUCUGUCCCUGC